GACGAACGCUGGCGGCGUGCUUAACACAUGCAAGUCGAACGAGACGAUUGAAAGCUUGCUUUUAAAAGUCGAGUGGCAAACGGGUGAGUAACGCGUAGACAACCUGCCUUUGAGAUGGGGACAACAGUUCGAAAGGACUGCUAAUACCGAAUGUUGUAUAUUUUCCACAUGGAAGAUAUAUUAAAGAUGGCCUCUAUUUAUAAGCUAUCGCUCAAAGAUGGGUCUGCGUCUGAUUAGCUAGUUGGUGGGGUAACGGCCUACCAAGGCGACGAUCAGUAGCCGGUCUGAGAGGAUGAACGACCACAUUGGGACUGAGACACGGCCCAGACUCCUACGGGAGGCAGCAGUGGGGAAUCUUCCACAAUGGACGAAAGUCUGAUGGAGCAACGCCGCGUGAGUGAAGAAGGGUUUCGGCUCGUAAAGCUCUGUUGUCGGGGACGAAUGUGCAGUAUUUGAAUAAAGUACUGUAAUGACGGUACCUGACGAGGAAGCCACGGCUAACUACGUGCCAGCCGCCGCAGUAA
This 524-nucleotide ribosomal RNA is filed under the name uncultured bacterium. Its description in RNAcentral is "partial 16S ribosomal RNA". It matches the Rfam family "Bacterial small subunit ribosomal RNA", at positions 28 to 523 of the family's 1533-position model. The record is from RNAcentral.